This 433-nucleotide ribosomal RNA is filed under the name uncultured bacterium. RNAcentral's name for it is "partial 16S ribosomal RNA". It matches the Rfam family "Bacterial small subunit ribosomal RNA", at positions 29 to 507 of the family's 1533-position model. The record is from RNAcentral.
AACGAACGCUGGCGGCAUGCCUAACACAUGCAAGUCGAACGAGACCUUCGGGUCUAGUGGCGCACGGGUGCGUAACGCGUGGGAACCUGCCCUUAGGUUCGGAAUAACUCCCCGAAAGGGGUGCUAAUACCGGAUAAUGUCUUCGGACCAAAGAUUUAUCGCCGUUGGAUGGGCCCGCGUUGGAUUAGCUAGUUGGUAGGGUAAAAGCCUACCAAGGCGACGAUCCAUAGCUGGUCUGAGAGGAUGAUCAGCCACACUGGGACUGAGACACGGCCCAGACUCGUACGCGAGGCAGCAGUGGGGAAUAUUGGACAAUGGGCGAAAGCCUGAUCCAGCAAUGCCGCGUGAGUGAUGAAGGCCUUAGGGUUGUAAAGCUCUUUUACCCGGGAUGAUAAUGACAGUACCGGGAGAAUAAGCUCCGGCUAACUCCGUG